AAGAUUUUAUCUUAAUAAAAGAGUCUGAGUUGCAUUCAGAAGAUGAAAGUUGAUAUCUUUCAGGUCUUA
Molecule: transfer RNA, 69 nt
Filed under: Anomaloglossus verbeeksnyderorum
Lineage: Eukaryota; Metazoa; Chordata; Amphibia; Anura; Aromobatidae
Description: tRNA-Ala
Source: RNAcentral